Molecule: long non-coding RNA, 668 nt
Organism: Vigna angularis (adzuki bean)
Lineage: Eukaryota; Viridiplantae; Streptophyta; Magnoliopsida; Fabales; Fabaceae
Exons: 2
Source: RefSeq, a predicted model, not a curated record
CAGUCGUUUUGUGCAGGUCUUUUUGCAAGUCUUCUUGCAGCACUGUAUAUCCUCAAAGUCUAGUAAAUGUUUUAUCUCUCAAUCCCUACUUCCCUGAAUUCAGAGUAUAAAUACAUAACAACACUCUUCACAUGAAUAAUAUAUAUAGUAAGCAUUAUCACACACUAUUCCCAACCAUGAACCCUAUUCUCUUCAUUGCUUUCUUACUCUUUGCUUCUCUUUUCUUCCUUCCCACUUCAACCAUGGCUCGACAACUCAACGGAGGGACUAUUAGCAGGGGAAACCCUAAUCAACCUUUAACAUGUCGCAAUCAGGGUUCUUAUAGAAAUUGCCUUCCAUUGAAAUUACCACCACCACCAUCAUCACAAUCAUGCUCAUCAUAUAAACGUAGUUGUCGUACACCACCAUCAUGAUCAAAAUAUAAUCGUAAUUGUUGGUCGAUAUCUAUAUUGGAUGUCCAAAUAUGUAGCAUCUGAAUAAAUUAAAUGUAGGUUUACUUAUUGGUGAGACAUUGUACACUUGUUGUGUUCAACUAUGGUGCUACAAUCUCUAUGUUUUUGUUUUAGAAUUUCUAUGCUUUAGUUGCUUUAUAGUGAGCGCUAAGUUUGCUGUUAAAUAAAGGUUUGGUUUAUAGGACAAUCCAAUAAAUAAGAUCUUGAUUGCCUAUA